This 527-nucleotide ribosomal RNA is filed under the name Mecistocephalus guildingii. RNAcentral's name for it is "partial 16S ribosomal RNA". It matches the Rfam family "Bacterial large subunit ribosomal RNA", at positions 1829 to 2600 of the family's 2925-position model. The record is from RNAcentral. Lineage: Eukaryota; Metazoa; Arthropoda; Chilopoda; Geophilomorpha; Mecistocephalidae.
GUCUUUUUGGAAAUUAUAAUAAGUCUGGCCUGCCCAGUGAGAUGUAAGUAAUAUUUUAACGGCCGCAGUAACUUGACUGUGCAAAGGUAGCAUAAUCAUUAGCCUUUUAAUUAAGGGCUGGAAUGAAGGGCUUGACGGGGAGUUGCUGUCCUUAAUCUAUUUUUUGAAUUUUAAUUUAUCGUGAAGAUGCGAUAAUUAAUCCGGAAGACGAGAAGACCCUAUCAAGUUUUAUCUUUAUAUUUUUAUUGAAUUGUGUUGAGUGACAUUAUAUGGAUUUUGCUGGGGCGGUUAACUAGGAUGUAACUUAGUAUAUUUUGGGAACAUAGAGUUGAGUGGACUAGGGUGUAAAAAUAUGAUCCAGUAUUACUGAUAAUUAGAAUAAAUUACUGUAGGGAUAACAGCGUAAUUAUAUUGGAGAGUUCAUAUCGAUAGUAUAGUUUGCGACCUCGAUGUUGGAUUAAGAUUCCCGAUAGUUGAAGGAGGCUAAAAUAAAAAUGGGCAGUCUGUUCGACUGUUAAAUUCUUACA